This 460-nucleotide ribosomal RNA is filed under the name uncultured bacterium. RNAcentral describes it as "partial 16S ribosomal RNA". It matches the Rfam family "Bacterial small subunit ribosomal RNA", at positions 338 to 795 of the family's 1533-position model. The record is from RNAcentral.
CCUACGGGGUGCUGCAGUGAGGAAUAUUGGUCAAUGGACGAGAGUCUGAACCAGCCAAGUAGCGUGAAGGAUGACUGCCCUAUGGGUUGUAAACUUCUUUUAUAAAGGAAUAAAACGAGGCACGUGUGCCUUUUUGCAUGUACUUUAUGAAUAAGGAUCGGCUAACUCCGUACAAGCAGCCGCGGUAAUACGGAGGAUCCGAGGGUUAUCCGGAUUUAUUGGGUUUAAAGGGAGCGUAGAUGGGUUGUUAAGUCAGUUGUGAAAGUUUGCGGCUCAACCGUAAAAUUGCAAUUGAUACUGGAAGUCUUGAGUACAGUUGAGGUAGUCGGAAUUCGUGGUGUAGCGGUGAAAUGCUUAGAUAUCACGAAGAACCCCGAUUGCGAAGGCAGCUUACUAAACUGUGACUGACAUUGAUGCUCGAAAGUGUGGGUAUCAAACAGGAUUAGAUACCCUUGUAGUC